Vespula pensylvanica (western yellowjacket) is the source of this 465-nucleotide long non-coding RNA. RefSeq lists it as uncharacterized. The record is from RefSeq and is a predicted model, not a curated record. The transcript has 2 exons. Lineage: Eukaryota; Metazoa; Arthropoda; Insecta; Hymenoptera; Vespidae.
UUUUCGAUCAGAUACGAUACAUUUGUGAAAUAUAUUAAGUAUUUAAAAUAUUGAGAACACGUGGAGAUGAUAAAUGUGAAAACAUGGAAGUAUUAUCUUCAUCAAACGUCAUUGUUACAUUUCAUAAUAUCUCGAACGUGGAGUUCCUCAUCAUCUUUAAAACGAAUAUGCAACAUCGAAGUGAUAGCUCUACCUCAAAAGGAGAGAGGAAUACGUUAAAGGCAUUUUAGAGAGUUUCUUUCGGGAUGCGUAGUUCACGCAUGAAAGAAUGAUGACGCACCAUGAUCGGUUCAGACGCUACGUCACAUAUCAAAGUUUCUUGGAGCCGUUGGAUAGCCGACACACGUCCGCCUUCUUGGUACAGGACCACGGAACCACACUUUUGCGAUUCCUUGAUUGCGAACGUGGAAAGACAGAGAGAGAAAAGGAGAAAGAGGGAGAGAGAGAGAGAGAGAGAGAGAGAGA